GGCCCUGUGGCGGAAUUGGUAGACGUCUUCGGCUUAGAACCGAAGGUCCUUAACGGGCGUGAGGGUUCGAGUCCCUCCGGGGCCA
This 85-nucleotide transfer RNA is filed under the name Blastocatellia bacterium. RNAcentral describes it as "tRNA-Leu". It matches the Rfam family "tRNA". From Rfam's summary of the family: Transfer RNA (tRNA) molecules are approximately 80 nucleotides in length. Their secondary structure includes four short double-helical elements and three loops (D, anti-codon, and T loops). Lineage: Bacteria; Pseudomonadati; Acidobacteriota; Blastocatellia. RNAcentral also lists the same sequence under 2 other names. The record is from RNAcentral.